UGGUUUUUCAGAAGUAGAUCACUAAGCCUUUCUUCUCAGGUGUCUCCAGAUGGACUUGAACUUCUAACCUCUAGGUUGGUAGCCAAGGGUGUUAACUGGUUAAUUAUGUUAAUUAGGUUAGGUGUGUCCCUGGGGGUACAGUCUUAUGUGAAAAUUGUGCAAAGAGGCCUUUUUUUGUUGUUAAGGUGUUCAGAAAGUUUAGUAACUUCUUAACUCUCGAUCAAGGUGUGAGACUGGGGCUGAAUUGCCUCUUGUCUUAAUUUUGCUAUAUCCUGGUAAGUAUAGUGUGUACAGUCAUCACUAAAGCUCAUGCGAAGUGUUUAAUAAAUAUUUCUUGAACAAAUGAGUGAAUGAAUCAGCGAAUUCCCCUUCUGAAUAAAGGAACUUGUGGACUCUUAAUAGGACUUAGAAGGAAUUUAGGUCCCUGGGUGGCAUAAGCGGUUUGUACUCAGAUACUAACCUAAAGAUUGGUAGUUGGAAUCCCCUCAGUGGGGUGGCCCUGUGAAAGAAAGGCCUGGCAAUCUACUUCCAUAAGAUUAUAGCCAGUUCUACCCUGACACACGUGGGGGGUUGCCAUGAGUUGGAGUUGAUUCAAUGCCAGCUGGUUUGUUUUUCGGUUAUCGAGGGGAUUUAAAAUAAAACACUAAAAAUGUACCGAGGAUGAGGUAGAUUAUUAGCAUAAGGUUUCAGGGAGAUUGAUAAUCUUUAGCAUGGGUUUUUAUACCUUGGUUGUACCCAACCUGGUUAACCAGAAAUCGUGAACCAUGAAUGCAGAGUAUUUCCCUAAUGAGUAAAAUUCGAGAGGAAGUGAGUGGCCAAGAAAGAUAACAAAAUAACAGGGACUCCAUUGAGUGGAAAAUAACCUGGAGAAGAAGGAAGACUCCUUACCCAAAUGAUAUAGAACCUCCAACAAACAUUUUGGCUCUUUGACACCCAAAUCAGAGAAAUGAGGCUUAGUAAUUUACAACACUGAUGUGAAGCUUAAUAGAACCGUUAGCACGAGCUUACAUUGUGGACCCAUCACAUCUGACCUAAAAUAGCCCAACCACUCAAGACGGGUGGUAUUUGUUUCCUUCCUCUUCUAUACUCACUGAUGAUAAUUAAGAGCGAAGCUGGGAAAACUAAAAAAAGGUCUUAAAAAAGAAGAAGUGCUUGAAAAUGUUUGGUGUGAGUUUCAGUACACUUUCGGUCAGCCUACACCCUGUCAAUUCCUCACUGUGCUUUCCCCCAUUAAUCCUCCCAACUCUUUUCAGUACACACGCAACCUCAUCCAUGGAGCUUUCCUUUUAGUGUGAAAUGUGCUGUGUGACUAUCUCUCAUACUUUCUGGAAUGCUCCGGGGGAUGCUUGGUAGUGGGUGUAGGGUAGGCAAACAUCAGUGGUCAUGUCCAGGUGGGACCUUGUAUUUUGAUGCUACUCCUAAUGCUGUUGUUGUUAGCUGCCAUCGAGUUGAGCCCCCCAUGUACAACAAGAUCAGACUGUUGUGAUCCGUACAGUUUUCAUUGGCUGAUUUUUUGGAAAUAGAUUGCUAGGUCUUUCUUAGUCUGCCUUAGUCUGGAAUCUCCACUGAAUCCUGUUCAGCAUCACAGCAACAGGCAAGCCUGCGCUGACAGAUGGGUGAUGGCUGUACGUAAGGUGCCCUGGCUGGGAAUAGAAUGUGGGUCUCCCGCAUGGAAGGUGAGAGUUCUACCACUCAACCACCACCGCCCCUAUUACUCCUAAUAACCAGUUGUCCUUGAGUUGAUUCCGACUCAUGGCAACCCCAUGUGUGUCAAAGUAGAACUGUGCUCCGUAGAGUUUUCAGUGGCUGAUUUUUAAGAAGUAGAUCAUCAGGCCUUUCUUCCAAGGUGCCUCUGGGUGGACUCGAACUGCUAACCUUUCUGUUAGCAGCUGAUUGUUUAACCAUUUGCACCACACAAGGACGCCCUACUCUUAAGAAGUUAAAAAAAAAAAAAAAACCAUUGCCGUCCAGUUGAUUCCGACUCCUAGUGACCAUAUAGGACAGAGUAGAAUGGCCCCAUAGGCUUUCCAAGGAGCAACUGGUGGAUUCAAGCUGCCAAACAUUUGGCUAACCUCAGAACGCUUAACUGCUGCGCCACCAGGGCUCCCUUAAAAAUAGACCCUAAUAAAUUAGUACACCAGUUGGAGUUUAGAUUUGAGGCAUGCACUAUGAACUAGUAGAAUUGAACAGGGAAAAUAUAGGGUUGUUUACCUAGAAGAAGAUAUUUAAUUAAAGUAAAAAGAAAAAAUAAGAGAGUUUGGUUUGUGUAGAGGAGAGUCAAAGAGAAAUAUGUUUGUUGCAACAUUGUUAUAACUGUGAAAUAUUAGUAACAGUAGAAAAAUGAUUAUGUCAGUUAUGGUACACUGACUUAAUGGAUUGUAUGUUACCAAUAAGCAUUGUUAUAAAGAGUUACUAAUCACACAAAGGAGUUGAUACAUUCUCUAAUAGUGUAGCUAAAAUUGUCUGCCCGGCAAUCUGAUUAUCUUCAAAAGGAAGUCCCUUUGCUUUUAGGAUAAAGUGUAAACUCAAUAAUGUAUCUUUCAUUACCUUUCUAGACGCAACUUUCAAAACUUCCCUUGUCUCUUCCCCUCUGCGCUGCACAUGUACCAUUCCCUCUGCCUAGAACCAGUACCAAUACCUGUUGCUGUCAACUCUGAUUCCUGGAGACUCCACAUGUGUCAGAGCAGAACUGUGCUCCGUAACGUUUUCAGUGGCUGAUUUUUCAGAAGUAGAUCACCAGGGCUUUCUUGCCUCUGGGUGGACUCCAACCUCCAAAUUUCAGUUAGCAAGCCAGGCGCAUUAACCAUUUGCAUCAGCCAGGGACCUGCCUAGAACAGUCCUUCCUUACUUCCCAGGUAACUUCAGCUGCUAACUCCUGCUAAUUCUUCAGGUCUUGGCUUUGAUCUCACUUCACGAGGGGAAGGCUUCCCCGACCACAUCCCCAGGACCAGGUUCGGGACUAUGGAAGGUUGAACUUUCCACACAGUAUUAUAAUUGCCCAUUUGUCUGCAUGGACGCUUCUUACAUUAGAGCAUAAGCUCAGUGAGGGGCUAAUAAUACUCUUCACACAAAAACAUGCUCAGUGAGUAUUUGAUGGCUGAGUUUUAAAACUGAGUAAAAAAGGAAGGAUAGAUAAUUAUAUUUAUGAAAUAAGUACAAUUUUUUAAAAAUUAUACCUUUUAAAAAACAGGAAAGAAAUACUGUACAGCAAAGUGUUCCUGUUAUGUUUGCCAGAUUUCUAUUGUGAUUGUGUAUUAUUUUUACAACUAUAAAGAAUAUCUUUGUUAUUUUAAAGAUGCAAUGAAAAAAAUAAACCUUCUUAAUUCAAUAGUAUAGUCAAGAACAGCCUGUAACAGUGCUGUGAGUAGGAGAAAAAAAAAAAAAGCCUGGGGUAAGGUUUGGGUGGAGAGAAGUUAGAUCUACAUAAACUCCCCAGAUGUAGGCCAUGGUAGAGGUGAGAGCCCAGAGUGUGAAGGGAAAUGAAACCAGGGCUGGUAACACCUGCCCAGCGGUAGGCAGGAAGCCACCCCAAGAAAGAAGGCAAAGCUUGCAGAGUGUUAUGGGUUGAAUUAUGUUCUCCCAAAAGAUACGUUGAAGACCUAACCCCUGGUUUCUGUGAACAUGACUUUGGAAAUGGGGUCUUUGCAGACGUUAUCAGUUAAGUUACAUGAGGUCAGAUUAGAGUAGGGUGGUCCUAAUCCAAUCAUACUUCCUACUACUACCAGUUGCCCUCAAGUCCACUCCAACCCAUGGUGACCACAUGCGUGUCAGAGCAGAACUGUGCUCCGCAGGGUUUCCAGUGGUUGAUUUUUUGGAAAUGGAUUGCCAAGCCUUUCUUUUGAGCUGCCUUUGGGUAGACAUGUACCUCUAACCUUUUGGUUAGCAGUUGAGAGUGUUAACUGUUUGCACUGCCCAGGGGCUUCAAUCCAAUCUAGAGAUGUCCUUGUAAGAGAAGAGCACAGACAGACAGACAAAAGAGAGCCACGUGAAGCUGGAGGUAGAGAUUGUUACAAAUGCAAGCCAAGGAACACCUAGGGCUACCAGAAGCUGAGGGAGAAAAGAAAGGGUCUUCCCCUAGAGCUCUUUGAAGAGAUCAUGGCCUGGCCCACACACUGAUUUGGACUUUGAGUCCCCCAAACUGUGAGACAAUAAAUUUCUGUUCUUUAAACCUUCUGUUUUGAGGUGUGUGGUUAUGGCAGCACUGGGAAACUAACACAGAGAGGUUUAGGCAGGAACAGGGGUGGUAGGGGAGAAGAUGGCUCAGUGAUGCUGAAGAACGAGGAAGGAAUCUUGAGGAAGUAGCUGGAGAUAAUCUGAGAGGCAGGAGUACCUGGGUGGUGAGAUGGUUAAGUGCUCAGCUAAUAAUUAAAAGGUUGGUGGUUUGAAUUCACUCAGAGGCACCUCGAAAGAAAGGCCUGGAGAUCUACUUCCAUGAGGCCACAGCCAUUGACAACCCUAUAGAGCACAGUUCUAAUCUGAAACACAUGGGGUCACCAUGAGUUGGAACCAACUCGAAAGCAACUGGUUGGUUAACUGAAGAGGUGACAAAGGACAGCCAGGAACAGAUAGCUUCCACCAGGACAAGGAAGGCCUUGAUUGGUUUAGAUCCAUAAAGGUAAGAGCGAGAGUGACAUAGGGGCUAUCAAGGAAAUCAAGUGGUGGUGGCGGAGUGUAGAUAAAAAUGUACACAAGCUACAAGAUUCUAGAAAAAGAUCCCAAGAGAAACACAAAGGACACAUGCCACUUGGCAAAAGGAACAUCCAGUUUUAUCUGGAGAAACAAAACAAAAAAUGAAGGGGCAAAAAGAAAGGGGUCAAAGGUAAAGAAAGCUUGGGAGUUUAAAUAAGAUGAAUAAAUCUACCCAAGUGGUGAAACUCAGCUGAAAGUUGGCAGGAGUAUGACUAACCCCGAGAACCAGGGGCACAGCCUCCCAAGGGAAGAACUGGAGAGACAAGAGGGGCAGGAGUGAGAGGUGUUUACUUUGCUGUGGGAACUGGGAGGAGGUGGGUGUCAGGGACAGCUUCUGGUUUGCUUGCUGGUUGGCUGGGCAGUUAUGUAAUGACAACUUGUUAGGACCUUCUGAUAAUUACAAUAAUAAAAAUAAUAACCACAAAAAAGGCAGUUAGAGUGAAUUUUAUGGAUAGAGCGUUGCAUGGUAGGCAGGAGAAAGCACCCCACCCCCAGUUGUGAGGUGGAUGAGGGGUGGGAGCUGCUGGAUGAGUUUCCUUAACUUGGGGAGGGGGGCAAGUCAGGGGGACCAGGGGACUCAGCUUUGAGGAAUCUAUGGAAUUCUCAGCCCACAACUCUGUUCUGCUGUCAACUCCCUCUGCCCCUCUCACUCUGGCCAUGAUGGUUAGCUUAGCUCUGGGUGAUCAGAUGGAAGCUGGUUUGUCUCUGGAGUUCUGGCCUGCAGACCCAAAGACAGAGAGUCAGUUGAUCUCUAUGUCAGAAGCAACAAAGGGCAAAACUUGGGAGCUUAGCACGUUCCCUGCCUUGUGGGGGUACUGGUCAUCAGCGGGGGAGACUCAAGCCGAUAUCCAGAAAUAGGACAAGAGAUGCAGACAGUCUGAGUAGCACUCAAACUUUGGUUCCAGUUUUCCCUCAAGCCCAGCUGCACCCCAUCCCUCCCAUCGUUAAACACCUUCUUGGAUCCCUGAGUCAAUGAAUUCCCUUUUUGAGCUAGCUUGAGUUGGGGUUCCAUAUCUUACAAUCACAUUUGUAUGCCCAGGCUAGUGAAAUCACAGGGCACUGGUGGAAGAAUUCUCAUCUUCCAAGCGAGAGACCAGGGUUCAAUUCCCUGUCAGCGCACCCCAUGCACAGCCGCCACUCAUCUGUCAGUGAAAGCUUGCAUGUUGCUGUGAUGCUGGACAGGUUUCAGUAGAGCUUCCAGACUGAGACAGACUAGGAAGAAGGGCCUGGCAAUCUACUUCCAAAAAUCAAUGAAAACCUUAUGGAUCAUAACUAAUCCUGGGAAUGGCACAGAACCAGCCAGCAUUUCAUUUGUUGUGCAUGGGGUCACCAUCAGUCAGGGACAGACUUGGCAGCAGCUGACAACGAGUGAAAAAAAGGAUCUAGUUGGCUGAGGAAGAAGGGCACAAACCCCACAGCAGAAGAAAACUAGUAAGGAUCUGGAUAUUUGGGACCCAUAAGUGCUUCCUCUUGGCUUUACAAUGUUCUGAUGACUGUUGCAGUCAGUGCCAGUGAAAGCGCCAAAAGAAGAACAGUCAGAUUAAGUUGAAGAAUUGGAGCAGUGUGGCCUAAGGGAAGCAGCAAGAAAACUGAGGAGAGUUAAGGGGAAAGGCGAGGCUGCAGCUGCUACUGCUGUCUAAACUGAGACUCCAGGGACUCUGUGAAUAAGGAAACAUAACGUGGCCAGGAGACAGCAGGUUUAACCGCCCUAGUCAUUUGGAGGAGGACUUUAGCUGAUCUGGAGAACAGGGAGAGACACGUAAUACAUGUGACUCAAGAAGCCAUCUGAGUGUGACAUGCAGCCAGGAAUAGUUCAACCCUGCAGGAUUUGGAUAUCAAAGCAUCUCGUAAGAGAAAAUGGUAUGAAAUUUCAGUGCUAGAGCAGGUCAUCUGUCCGCAAACAAUAAGGUGACCACAAGUCCUGAUUCACCUGGGACAGCCCUGGUUUACACCCACUGUUCUGGCAUAAUUAUUAAUAGCACCUUCAGCCACACCCAAAAGUAUUCCUGGUUUGAAUGCUAAAUUGUAAGGUUACCCUAGCAAACAGCUGCCUUGGUGUUGUGCUACAACGAAGGGCGGGCUAUACUGUAGGGUCUCAGCCUAGAGAGGAAGUAUAACUUCUGCUCAGAGAGACACAGAGAAGCCCCAGGGAGCAGCGAGAGGAGAGAAAGGCAAAAAAUGACAGCUUUGGGAAGAAAGAGAUGAAAUAAAAUUGCUGUCCAGAGGUGGUGGGAAAAAAGAGGAAGUUGUCAGGGAAAGAGAAAAUGGUAUGGAAAAGCCAUCAGCAGCCAGAAGACAACUGCUGAGGGCUGAACAGGCGGAGCUGCUGGUGAGGUCUGGUGAGCUCAGAGCCACAAGACAUGUGACAGCAGGCAGAACGGAGACAGCCUUGGAGGAUACAGAAAGGUCACAGAUGGAGAUGAGUAGUUGCUGCACUUAAGGGAGGCAGAACCAGACUGGGCAGAAUCCAGACCUGAGUAAUUCACUCCAGGCAAUCAGGUCAGUGUGUGUCACAGCCAGGGAGCAGAGCUGUGCGGGAGCUGACGACAAACAAGUCCAGGCCAGCAUGGUCCUGGCCAAGGAGGAGAGGCUGGCGUUUGGAAGCUUCACACCAGUGAGUCCUCCAGAGAAGCUGCCGCUCACAGGUUCUCCUAAGGAUUCAUGUUCUUUGCCCUGAGAGAUUCAAAGUCACUGUCAACCCUGACUCUGGGAUAGACAUUGAAUUCUAAAAAGAUGAGCAUCUUAGAUCAACCCCUUAACUUGGACAAACAAGGAAAACGAGAUGCAAGAAGCUGAUGUCCCAGCUCCUCGGAUGCGUGCCAGAAUUUCGUGACUCUGGUGGGAGCGGGACUGCUCGCGUUGAGUGGGUGCUUCCUGUGCCUCCUGUGUAGAAGAACUGUAACUGCCUCGUCCUGGCUGUGGAAGAGAGACUACCCUACCUCGAAUAUUCUUCCUCUGUUUAAGUCCUGCAACUGGAAAACCGGAGAGACGUGGUGCUGGUCAGACUUACUUGUGCUUGUUCCUCUUAAAGGGAUUGAAAAAAAACAAAUUAAAAAAACCAGUUGAGCUGGAAUCAGUCCCCACUCCUGGCUCCCCCAAAUAUGUGAGAAUAGAACUGUGUUCUGUAAGCUUUAUCAGAGGUAGACUACAGGGCUUCUUCCCAGGUGCCCUCAGCAGACUCACUCAGGCUAGCAGCCUCGUGUGUUAACCAUCUGCACUACCCUGGGGCUCCUUGUAGUGGGAGUGUUGUUGUUAGGUGCUGCGGAGUUGGCCCCUGACUCCUGGUGACCCAUGCACAAUGGGGCAGGGCUGUUGGGAUCCACAGGCUGUUCACUGGCUGAUUUUUGGAAGUAGAUUGGUAAUUGCUAGGCCCUUCUUCCUACUCCAUCAUAGUCUGGAAGCUCUGCUGGAACCUGUUCAGCAUCACAGCGACACUCAAGCCUCCACUCAGAGGCAGGUGAUGGAGGCACAUGAGGUGCAUUGGCCAGGAAUCCAUCCUGGGUUUCCAGCUUAGAAGGUGAGAAUUCUACCUCUGAACCACCACAGCGCUCUUAAAUGGAUUGCCCGUUGCUGUCAAGCCAAUUCCAACUCAUAGCGAACUGCCCCAUAGGGUUUCCAAGGCUGUAACUUUUAUGGUAACAGACUGCCACAUUUUUCUCCCACAGAGCGGCUGGUGGGUUUGAACUGCUGACCUGUCAGCAGCCGAGCGCUUAACCACUGAGCCACCAAGGCUCCCAUCUUAAAGGGAUUAAAAACCAGAAAACCAAACCCAUUGCCGUAGAGUUGAUUCUGACUCAUAGCGACCCUAUAACACAGAGUAGAAUUGCCCCAUAGAGUUUCCAAGGAGCGCCUGGUGGAUUUGAACUGCCAACCUUUCGAUUAGCAGCUGUAGCUCUUAGCCACUAUGCCACCAAGGUUUCUCUUACAGGGAUUAGGUGCCCUCAAUUAUAGGUCCUUGAACUUUUGAGAGUUAAGAGCUUGGUAGGACAACUGGAUUGCUCCUAGCCGAAGGCCAGGCCUUGAGCAGCCCUGUCUCAGAUUCUCUUGGAUCUUUUAGAAGGACCGAUCCUCUACUGUGAGCAAUGAGACCCAUUGCUGUGUGAGUCAGCCUAGUGACUUCACCUGGUGAUACAGGACUUCACAACCUCAUUGGUGUCCGAUUUGGAGGCCAGAUGCCUGGUGUGGAGCCGGGAACUAAACUUUGAAAGAUAUCGAAGCAUUCCUACUAUUCCUAUGGUUGAAAACGCAGGAAUUUAUUUCUCUUACCAAAAAAAAAAAAAAAAAAAUGUGCAUUUAUUCUAAAAAUUUUUGAAACGUAGAGGAAAGCAAAAAGAAGAUGAAUGUCACACCGGUUCAGACUUAAAUACUACUACUAAUUUGAUGGCUCUUUCCAGUAAUUUAUUUGUGUAUAAAUAAUUUUCAGUAAUUCAAAAAAUACUGAGUUUCUAUUCUCUGCCGUGGAUGUUGUUUGGUACUGUGUAUAGAGUGGUGAGGGAAGCAUAGUGCUUGCCCUUAAGAAGCUAGCAGAUUAACGGAGGAAUCAGGUCAUGGGUAAGUAGAAAAAAAAAAAUACAUACUUGCAAAACGCCAAGCUCUAUGAAGGAACGUGGUGCUAUGGCAGAUUAUACCCAUGGUGUGGACUACCUACAUGGUCAGGGCAGGUGUCCCUGAGGAGGGACAAUUAGAAGGAGAACUAAAGGAUUAGAAAGAGCCAGCAGCAUUCCAGGAGGGAAGGGUCAAGACAGGCCCAAAGGCCUCAAGACCUCAACUGAAGGGCAGUCAGUGUGACUGAAGCUUACUGGGCCAGGGGAAAGGGACAGAAGGGGAAGUUAGAGGGGUGAGCAGGGGCUGGACAAUGCUUGUCUUCAUAGGAUGGAGUUCAACUUUUGAAAUGUUAUAUUCUAUAUCCUGAAUAUUCCUUUAACACCAUUAUUAGCACACACACAAACUUUAUUGGGAUUAUACCAUACUCAUUUUGCUGUUUGAUUUUCUUUGAAAGCUAAUUUGAUGUGGCUAUAAAUUUUUUUCUAUGAUUACAUAAUACUCCUAUGACAAGAUAAGACAGAAAUUAGUACAGACCCAGUGUGUGUGAGAGAAAGAAAAUUCUUCUGAAAUUGCAGGCCCCAGGUCUACAUUGCGUGUAUGUGUGUGUGCGCCUGUGUGUGUGCAAGUGUUUGCAUGUGUGUGAGUGCACGAGCCUGUGUGUGGAGCAUUGGGAAAAGAGCCUCUGAAAUGCUCAGAGAGGCCUAAGCCACAUCAUUUUUUUGAAACCCCCAGCAUAUUAAGAAAUAAACAUAUCUUUCAACACCCAAAUUGUGGUUUCUAAAUAUCAUUUCCCACUAAAAGGAAUAAAGGCUUCUUAGAGAGAUGAUUGAUUCCAGGUCUGAACCAGGAAAUGCACAAGAUGAGUCUGGAACAUCUUGUCAUAAAAGAAAGGAAGGAUAUUGUCAAAGACCACUAAAAAAACCCCCCAAAACAAAAACCAAACCUGUUGCUCUCGAGUAGAUUCCAACUCAUAGCGACCCUCCAGGACAUAGUAGAACUGCCCCAUAGGGUUUCCAAGGAGCGCCUGUGAAUUUAAACUGCUGACCUUUUGGCUGGCAGCUGUAGCUCAUAAGCACUAUGCCACUACGGUUUCCAAAGACCACUAAGGUGGUAUGAAAAAGUCACAGUAGCCAACUUGAAGGGGUUCAGUCUGGCCAAAUAUGGGGCCAUUUGGGUCUCAAUAAGAAUAAUAAUGGCAAUGUAUUAAAACAUGUCUACUAUGUUUAUUUGUUAAAAAUGUUUUAAUUUAUAAGUUCAUAAUGAUAUGAAAAAAAACUUGAUGAGUCACCUUUGGAGAAUGAUAUGGGAUCCAGUUGUUACUUUGAACACUGGUAAAUAAAGGGGAAGACUUAAACAUUUAUCUUGUGCCACUGGUUAACCCAACAGUUGAUGAGGGGAAGGUUCUCUUUGUUGAAGUAUUCCAGAAGGGAUGUCAGAGUUAGAAUAUCAUCAUUUUGCAAAUCCAUAAGGAAUUAACGGGUCUAGGCAAUGACUGUCAAUGACUAUUGACCUCCCAAAAGAGUGACAACCAGAUAUUAUGUGCCUCCAGAUAGAAGAAUUCAUGAAGUAAUUUUGUAAAAAAAAGAAAAAGUGAACUUGAAUCUCAUUGAAAUCACUCCAGCAGAUCUGUAUUAGUUUCCUAGGGCUGCCAAACAAACUACCACCAACUGGGUGUCUUGUAAGAACAGAAAUCUAUUGUCUCACAGUUCUGGUAGCUAGAAGUCUGAAAUCAGGGUAUCUGCCAUGUUGAUUCCUUCUGUGGGCUCUGAGGGAGAAUCUAUUCCAUGCUUCUCUCCUAGCUUCUGGUGAUGGCCAGCGAGCCUUAGCAUUCCUUGGCUUGUGGCAGCGUCACUCCAACCUCUGUCUCUGUCUUUACAUGCUUGUCUUCCUCUGUGUCUCUUCUCUUUUAUAAGGACACCACUCAGAUUGAAUCAGGACCCACCUUACUCCAGUGUGACCUCAUGUUAACUGAUAACAUCUUCAAAGACCCGAUUGCCAAACAAGAUCAUGUUUACGGGUACCAGAGGUUAGGACUUCAACAUACCUUUUGGAGGGGUUACAAUUCAAUCUAUAACUAGAUCCAAGUACAUGUUUACAAGAAACACAGGGGACAGAGAAAAAUGUUCAGCAGCAUUAUGAAAAUGCAGUAAUCGAAAUCCAGACUAUAGGAUAAGCUAAGACUUUCAUUAGGGUUAUUGUGAGGAUUAAGAGGUUUAAUACAUGCGAAGUGCUUAGAAAGGUCUUGGGCACUCAAUAAAUGUUAGCAAUUUUUUUUAUUGUCAUUACCAUUAUUAUGCUAAUUAUUAUAGCUGAGCACAACACUGUGUGCUAGGAGAGUCUCCUUCUCCCCUGAACUUUGAACAAUGGAGGCAGCACAGGAAUCAGAGGUAUUCAAGGUCCUCUGUGCUGCUGUGCGGCAGUAUCCCUAGAGGUGGUGCCUGAGAUAACCAGAGCUGGGCUGGGCUGGGCUGCGGGACGGGCUGCGGGACCAGCUGCUGUCAGCAAUGAACCACAACAGAACCACACAGCCCACUCUGCCCUCGGGUGAGCUGGUCAGUUUUCCCCAGUUUUUUGCUUCUGAGGAAGAAAAGAUAAGGAAGGAAAAAAUAAUUUCAUAGGAGCCAUUGAAUUUAAAAAUGUUAAAAGAGAUGUGAGCUUAUUUUGUAGUCCAUGUAUUGGGCUGCAUAUUAGUCAUUUCCACUCUGUAUAGUUUUUAUACAUUUUAAAAAUAGACUUCACUUUUUAGAACAGUUCUGAAUUUUUAGAAAAAUUGAGAAGUUAGCACAGGGAGUUUCCAUAUUCCCUGCACCUGUUUUCUCUAUUAUUAUCUUCUUAGUCUGAUACAAUUAGUGAACAAGUAUUGACACGUCAUUACUAACUGAAGUCCACACUUUUUUCAGAUGUCCUUAGUUUUUAUCUAAUGCCCUUUUUCUGUUCCAGGAUCCCAUCCAGGAUACCACAUUGCACUUCAUCGCCAUGUCUCCUUAGACUCCUUUUGGCUAUUAUCUUGGCUAUUCUGGGCCCAUUGCAUUUCUAUACGAAUUUUAAGAUCAGCUUGAAAUUUCUGCAGAAUAGGCAGCUGGGAUUUUGAUAGGGAUUCCAUCUGUAGAUAAAUUUGGUACAACAGUACAAGAGAGAUCAAGAAAGGACGAGCAUGAGGUGAAGUCAGCUAUCCGAAAUGGAAAGUCACGAUCCUUUGCCAGUUUCCAGACCUAAGGCGGUUCUCAGACCCAGAACUCAUCGAUGAAGGAAAAGCCAGGCCAGACCCCUGUGGGGAAAGAUCUGUACCAUCACAGCAAGUGUAUAGAGAGGUAGAUCAAAGAAGAAUUGAUGCCUUUGAAUUGUGUUCAUGAAGAAUAUUGAAUAUACCAUGGACUGCCAGAACAAACAAGUCUGUCUUGGAAAAAACGCAGCCAGAAGACUCCUUAGAAGCCAGGAUGACGGACAUCCAAUUUUGCCAGCACCAUUUGUUAAAAACACUGUUUUUUCCUCAUUUAAUGGAUUUGUUCCUUUGUCAAAGAUCAGCUGACCAUAGAUGCAUUUCAGCCAUUUACAUUCAGUAUGAUUAAAAAAAAAAAAUCCAUUUCCAUCGAGUCAAUUCCAACUUAUUGCUACCCUAUAGGACAGAGUGGAACUGCCCCAUAGGGAUUCCAAGGAGCAGCUGGUGGAUUCAAAUUGCUGACCUUUUAGUUAGCAGCCAAGCUCUUAACCACUGUGCUACCUGGGAUCCAAUUAUUGUUUGUUUUAGUCUGGAAGCUCCACUGAAACCCAUUCAGCAUCAUAGCAACACGCAAGCCUCUACUGACGGCCACGAGGUGCAUUGGCGGCGAAUGGACCCUGGGUCUUCGGGAUGGAAGGUGAGAAUUCUACCAUGGCACCUACACUGCCUUGGCAGUAUGUGCAGGAGCCUGAAUUUGAAUCCAGAUUUGCCUCAAAAAUGUGGACGUGAACAAAAAUGUGCUAAUGGUGAACAAAAAGAAGCGGUGGUGCCUGGUCUGAAUGGAAAGAAAAGGAGCCGUUUUACUUGCAAGGUCGAAAUCGACUCGUCGGCAACGGGUAGGGUAGGCUACGCUUACGAGGCUGUAUUUUUAAGAAACGGUAUUUGUUUUUGUAGUUUUAAUCCAAGAGUUUGUUAGUUUCUGCUGAUCUCUACUAAGAGAAUUUUAGCUUUUCUUUCUUUGACUGCCAUCUAGAGGCUGACAGGGGUAAUUACAGACAUAUUAGGCGUUCUAAGCACAAUACUCGGGGACCUCAAGAUGAUUCCGACUCAUUUGGACCCUGUAGGACACAGUAGAACUGCCACAUAGUUUCCAAGGCAGUAAAUUUUUUUUUUUUUUUGUACUUUAGAUGCAGGUUUACAGAGCAAACUAGUUUCUCAUUAAACAAUUAAUACAUAUAUUGUUUUGUGACAUUGAUUGCCAACCCCAUGACUUGUGAGCAUCACCCCCCCACUGCCCCGCCCUCGACCUUAGGUUUCCCAUUACGGACUUUCCUGUCCUCUUCUGCCUUCUCCUCCCUGCCCCUGAGCUGCAGUGCGCAUCUAGUCUCGAUUUGUUUAUGGGCUGUCUAAUCUUUGGCUGCAGGGUGAAUCCCAGGAGUGACUUCACUGAGUUAAAAGGGUGUCCAGGGGCCAUAUUCUUGGAGUAAGGCUGUAAAUCUUUACAGACGUGGACUGCCACAUCUUUCUCCUGUGCAGCGGCUGGUGGGUUUGAACCACCAACCUUUCAGCUAGCGGCCAAGUUACUUAACCACUGCACCACCAGGGCUCCCUUUCUGAGCAGAGAGGGAGGAGUAAAAGGAGUGGCCGGGAGAGAAGUCAUCAAGUCAAUCUUCCCCUGCUUUACUCUCCAAGUAAUGCUCAUCAGGUCUGUAUCUUCACAGAUAGUUGGGUUCUGGGGUUGAGAAGCCUAGACGUCCUUCUGCACUAUUCUUUGGCUUCCUUUACUUUUAUGCAGGAGUACUUCUGUCUGAAGCCUUGGCUCAGGAACAGGGUUGGAUUACCCAAUAGGCAAGGUAGGCACAGGCCCAAUUGUGCCUUCCCACCAAUCUGCAGUGCACAAUUUCAUCUGUCCCCCACCACGGCAAAGACAUGCUGAAACUCAUGUGAAAUUACUCACCACAGAUUAGCAAGUAAAUACAAUUAAGCCCUUGCAUAACUUGCUCAACGCAAGAUGGUGCAUAACAGCGUUUACUGGUUAAUCCGCUUCUGCUCAGGAAUCUUAUUUAAUUCAUGAAACUGACUGAGAGGUCCAUCUGCCAUUCAGAUGCUGGAGACAAGAAGCCACCUUGCCCUAGGAACCAGGCACAGAUUAUCUGGUAGGCCAGGUAAGCACAGUGCUUACCUUGCUUACCAGAUAAUCUAUUGUGAACAUGAUAUGGUGAAACUCAUGAGAAAUUGUUCACUACAGAUUAGUAAGUAAGCACUUGCUUACUGGGUCAUUCACCUCUGUCAGGGAUUGUAAGUUUGAAAAGAUGCUUUGAUUCUGUAGGAAGGUGCUGUGGGGUUGGAAGAGAGACAGAUGCCAGCCAUACCCAGCAGGAGAAUCUUUGAUGUGGUGAAAAAUGUGAAAUUGCUCACGACAGAUGAUCUGGUAAUUGCAUAAUCCAUCCCUGUUGGGAACACAUGAUGUAGUAUUUCAGCUACUGGAAGCUUCAGGUCUGGCCUCCCCCCAGGGCUCUUCCACAGAGGAAGAUGAAAAAAAAAAAAAAUCCAUUCUCUCAAGGACCAAAGACAACAGGGCUCUGCGAGUUUAGAGCAGGUGCAGCUGUUUUAGAAGGCAGGUCAGGUGACCAUCAAGAACCAGGACUAUGAGCAAAGGCUGUAAACAGACACUUCAUCAAGGAAGGCACUCAGGCAGCUAACAGACACGUGAGGAAACACUUGAGAUGAUUAGCCCUUAGAGAAAUGCAGAUCAAAACCACAAUGGGAUACCAUCUCACCCUGACAUUACUGGCACAAAUAAAAAAAACAGAAAAAUGUUGGAGAGGUUGUGGGGAGAUUGGAACUCUUACGUGCUGCUGGUGGGAAUGCAAAAUGGUACAGCCAUUUUGGAAAAUGAUUGACACCUCCUUAAAAAACUAGAAAUACCAUAAGAUCUAGCAAUCCCACUCCUAGGAAUAUAUCCUAGAGAAAUAAUAGCCGUCACAUGAAUAGAAAUACUGUUUGCAAAGCAAAAAGAUGGAAACAACCUAGCUGCCCAUCAACAGAUAAAUGAUAAACUAUGGUAUACACACAAUAGGAUACUAUGCAACAAUAAAGAACAAUGAUGAAUCCGGGAAACAUCUCACAACAUAGAUGAAUCUGGAGGGCAUUAUGUUGAGUGAAAUAAGCCAAUCACAAAAGGACAAACAUUGUAUGAGACCACUAUUAUAAGAACUCAAGGAAAGGAUUAUAGACAGAAAAAAAUUCUUUGAUAGUUAUGAGGGUGGGGAGGAAUGAAGAGUCGAAAUCACUCUAACUAGAUAGUAGACAAGUAUCAAAUUUGGUGAAGGGAAAGACAGUACACAAUAUAGGGGAAGUCAGCACAACUUGACCAAGGAAAAGUCAUAGAAGUUUCCUAGACACACCCAAAUGCCUUGAGGGACUGAGUUGCAGGGGCUAAGAGCUGGGGACCAUAGUCUCAGGAGACAUCUAGGUCAGUUGGCAUAACAUAGUUCAUAAAGAAAAUGUUCCACACCCCACUUUGGCGAGUAUUGUCUAGGGUCUUAAAAGCUUGUGAGUAGCCGUCUAAGAUACAUCUAUUGGUACCAUCACUUUCCAGGCAAAAGAGAAUGAAGUAAACCAAAGACACAAGGAAAAAUUAAUCCAAAAGGCUAAUGGACCACAUGAACCAUAGGCUCCACCAGCCUGAGCCCAGAACAACUAGAUGGUGCUCAGCUACCUCCACUGACUUUUCUGACAGGGGUCACAACAGAGAUUCCCAGACAGAGAGGGAGAAACAUGUAGAACAAAAUUCAAAUUCAUGAAAAAGACUAGGCUUACUGAUAUGACAGAGACUGGAGGAAUCCCUGAGACCAUGGCCCCUGGAUACUGUGCUGACUGAGAACAGAAACCACACCUGAAUCCCACUUUUCAGACAAAGAUUAGACAGACCUAUAAAAGAAAAAAUAACACACAUGAGGAACGUGCUUCUCAGGCAAGAAGAGAUAGGAACUGGAUGAAUGGACACAGGGAACCUGGGGUGGAAAGGGGGAGCAUGCUGUCACAUUGUGGGGAUUGCAACCAAUGUUGCUAAAAAAGUAUGUGUAUAAAUUUUUGAAUGAGAAACUAGAGCUAUAAACUUUCACCUAAGGCCCAAUAAAAUCAAACAAAUUAAAACAGAAAGAAAAAAAUAAAGAACCAGGACCAUCCAGGGGCUCGGUUCCUGAGAAUGAUGGUGGGAACAACCUCGCUUGGAAGGAUCUCAGAGACAGAAGGCAGAGACAAUCACUACUGACCUACACAUUGCCAGCUCAACGGCCACUUCUCAGUGCUCCGCUUGCCUGACUUCUCAGCGGUGUUCGACAGUGUUGGUUGCUCCCCCUCCCUGAUGUGCUAUCUUUACUUGGCUUCCAGACACCACACUCCCUUGGUUGUCUUCACUGGUCCCUCUUCUCAGGCUCUCUGCUGAGUAUUAUGGUGCUCUUCAACCCCAUAAUGUCAGAGCGUCCUAGUUCUCUGUCCUUGGCCUUUUCCUUAUCUACACUCACUCUCCUGAGAUCUCAUCCAGUCCCUUGCCUCUAAAUACCAUAGUUAGCUCUAAUAACUCCCAAAUACCUGGGUGGCACACCUGGUUUAGCACCAGACUUCUAGCCAAAAGGUUGGUAGAGCCCAUCCAGAAAUGCCUGGAAGAAAGGCUCAGGGCUCCAGUUUCUCCACAUCCUCACCAACACCAGUUUUUUCCCAUUUAUUUUCAUCGUUGUCAUUCUAAUGGAGUGAGGUGGUAUCUCAUUGUAGAUUUUUUUACCAUGUACCUUUUUAAAUAUAAUUUAUUUUUGUUGUUGAGAAUAUAUACACCAGAACCUAUACCAAUUUUACAAUUUCUACAUGUACAAUUUAGUGACAUUUGUUACAUUCUUCCAGUCAUGAAACCAUUCUCAUCCCCUUUUUCUGAGUUGUUCCUGCCCCAUUAACAUAAAGUCACUGCCCCUAAGUUUCCCAUCUAAUCUUUCUAGUUGCUGUUGUCAAUUUGAUCCCAUAGAGAAAGAUCUUAAAAGAGCACAAUGCUCAAGGCAGACAUUCUUUUCUAGUUAAGCUAAACUUGACUCAGUUGUUUUUAUUUCCAUGCUAAAAAAACCCUUCAAUUGUUCCCAUUUCACUCAGUGUAAGAUCCAAAGUCCUCACAAUGGUACAUGAUUCUGGAUCCUCCAAGGAGCAGAUGCCAAGGUGGCAUUAAACGAGCAAGGUUUUUGUUAGAGGAACUGCCUGUGAGGAAAAAUUGGGAGGGAGUAGGGAGUUUGAGAGAGCCUUCAGACUGGGAUGCAAGUCAGAGCCCAAGUGAAGGGGCGAGGGAAUCAAACUCAGGUGAAAAGGUCCUAGACUGCUCAGCAAUCUAAAGAGGUUCUAUGAGAUGGUUUGGGAAUCCCUUCAGAAAAGUUGGUGUUUCCCAGGAAAAUGCCUGCCUUCAUAUCCCCUCUGAGGUCCAUUAUGGGCUGGAGCAGCCCUGAGAAAUGUGCAUGGAUUUCCUAUGGCAAGAUUUUGGCCUUGAUCAACUAUGCUCCUUGUAGUUGAGGGUUUGUGAGGCUCCCACAAAUGGUUUACAAGGCCCUGUAUGAUCUGGAUGGAGCCCUGGUGGUAUAGUGGUUAAGAGCUACAGGUGGAAACCAAAAGGCCAGCAAUUUGAAUCCACCAGCUCCUCCUUGGAAACCCUUUGGGGCAGUUCUACUCUGUCCUAUAGGGUCACUAUGAGUCAGAAUUGACUCAACAGCAAUGGGUUUGGUUUUUUUCAUAGGUAUGAUCUGGCUUGCUGAUAUACCUACCCCUCCUUCAAUUCUACCUUCUCAGUGAGGCUUGCCCUGACCCUAUAGUUUAUAUUUUGACCUGCAUCUCCUGCACCUACAAUCCUAAUGCCACUCAACCUACUCUUCCUUUCCUUUUUUUCCUUCUAGCACUUGUUGCCUUCUAGUGUGCUAUGUUGUUGUUGUUAGGUGCCGUCCAGUCAGUUCCAACUCAUAGUGGCCCUACGUACAACAGAACGAAACACUGCCUGGACCUGCACCAUCCUCAUAAUCAUUGCUAUGUUUGAGCCCAUUGUUGCAGCCACUGUGUCAAUCCAUGUCACUGAGGGCCUUCCUCUUUUUCACUGACCCUCUACUCUGCUAAGCAUGAUGUUCUUCUCCAGGGACUGGUCCCCCCCUAAUAACAUGUCUGAAGCAUGUGAGACGAAGUCUUACUUACCAUCCUCACUUCCAAGGAGCAGUCUGGCUGUACUUCUUCUGAGAUAGAUUUGUUCAUUCUUCUGGUAGUCCAUGGUAUAUUCAAUAUUCUUUGCAAACACCAUAAUUCAAAGGCAUCAAUUCUCCGUAGGUCUUCCUUAUUCAUUGUCUAGCUUUCACAUGCAUAUUAAGCGAUUGAAAACACCAUGGCUUGGGUCAGAAGAAUCUUAGUCCUUAAAGUGACAUCUUUGGUUUUUAACACUUUAAAGAAAUCUUUUGCAACAGAUUUGUCCAAUGCAAUAUGUUGUUUGACUUCUUGACUGCUGCUUCUAUGGGCAUUGAUUGUGGAUCCAAGUAAAAUGAAAUCCUUGACAACUUCAAUCUUUUCUCCAUUUAUCAUGAUGUUGCUUAUUGGUCCAGGUGUGGGGAUAUAUUCAACUUAUUUAUUAUGUCUAUUUUAAUUGUCUAUGUCCAUCCUCUGGUAUGUUAGCUGCAUGUUUAUUAACAUAAUCCAAGUACUGGAACCAUGCCCGAUACGUGGUAGUCACUCAAUAAAUAUUUGUUGAACAAAUGAAUGUUGUCCUAAUUUGGU
Long non-coding RNA from Loxodonta africana (African savanna elephant), 19180 nucleotides. RefSeq lists it as uncharacterized. Lineage: Eukaryota; Metazoa; Chordata; Mammalia; Proboscidea; Elephantidae. The transcript is spliced from 8 exons. The record is from RefSeq and is a predicted model, not a curated record.